Molecule: ribosomal RNA, 492 nt
Filed under: uncultured bacterium
Lineage: Bacteria
Description: partial 16S ribosomal RNA
Rfam family: Bacterial small subunit ribosomal RNA
Source: RNAcentral
AGUGAACGCUGGCGGUAGGCCUAACACAUGCAAGUCGAACGGCAGCACAGUAAGAGCUUGCUCUUACGGGUGGCGAGUGGCGGACGGGUGAGGAAUACAUCGGAAUCUACAUUUUCGUGGGGGAUAACGUAGGGAAACUUACGCUAAUACCGCAUACGACCUACGGGUGAAAGCAGGGGAUCUUCGGACCUUGCGCGAUUGAAUGAGCCGAUGUCGGAUUAGCUAGUUGGCGGGGUAAAGGCCCACCAAGGCGACGAUCCGUAGCUGGUCUGAGAGGAUGAUCCGCCACCCUGGAACUGAGACACGGUCCAGACUCCUACGGGAGGCCGCAGUGGGGAAUAUUGGGCAGUGGGGGCGAGCCUGAUCCAGCCAUACCGCGUGGGUGAAGAAGGCCUUCGGGUUGUAAAGCCCUUUUGUUGGGAAAGAAAAGCAGCAGGUUAAUACCCCGCUGUUCUGACGGUACCCAAAGAAUAAGCACCGGCUAACUUCGUG